RNAcentral lists this ribosomal RNA (427 nucleotides) under uncultured bacterium. Its description in RNAcentral is "bacterial SSU rRNA". It matches the Rfam family "Bacterial small subunit ribosomal RNA", at positions 354 to 796 of the family's 1533-position model. The record is from RNAcentral.
GUGGGGAAUAUUGGGCAAUGGACGCAAGUCUGACCCAGCAACGCCGCGUGAAGGAAGAAGGCUUUCGGGUUGUAAACUUCUUUUAAGAGGGAAGAGGAGAAGACGGUACCUCUUGAAUAAGCCACGGCUAACUACGUGCCAGCAGCCGCGGUAAUACGUAGGUGGCAAGCGUUGUCCGGAUUUACUGGGUGUAAAGGGCGUGCAGCCGGGCCGGCAAGUCAGAUGUGAAAUCCCCAGGCUCAACCUGGGAACUGCAUUUGAAACUGUUGGUCUUGAGUAUCGGAGAGGUAAUCGGAAUUCCUUGUGUAGCGGUGAAAUGCGUAGAUAUAAGGAAGAACACCAGUGGCGAAGGCGGAUUACUGGACGACAACUGACGGUGAGGCGCGAAAGCGUGGGGAGCAAACAGGAUUAGAAACCCUAGUAGUCC